UGGACUCCAGUCGCCCUCCUCGCUCCACGUGGUGGUGCCCUGCAUGCCAUCCAUGCCGCCCUCGCCAACGGGCUCUAGUCGCCCACCUCGCUCCACGCGGUGGAGCCCUGCACGCCAUCUGCGCCGCCCUCGCCGAUGAACUCCGGUUGCCCUCCUUGAUCCACGUGGCGGCAUGGCUCCUCACGGAAGGACUUCCAGCCAGCACAGCCCUGCCGCCCCUCAGGGACGGACUUGCAGCCGCAUGCCCCGGCCGGCGUAGGAACAAGAGCUGUCUAAAGAUUUGUCACCCAUAGCGUUCUCUACAGGUUGAACUGGUUGCUUCAAAUUAGCAUCAUAACUAUUAGCUGUUUUUCUUGUAUCCAACCGAUUUUCAUAGCAUGCUAUUUUGACAUUGAUUUUGAUUAUUUCUUUGACAUGGAUUGUCAUCUUUUGCUAAUUUAUGUGACAUGUUAAUUAAUAAAAAAUCAUGAUCAUCUAAAAGUGCCUUUAAUUAAUCUAAUGAAAAACGUCAGCUCCUUCAAUGCGAUAUACAAACUUCAUAUGAACCACCAUUGCUAUCAUGAUUCACAUUUUUGCUCCACAUUCAGGGUAGUCAGAACUCUAUAAUUGCAAAUACUUUAGAGGCAUGUUGUGUAAUUGCAACAAUUAUCAAUAAUAAGGUCUUACAUAUUUUGUAAUGUUCAGGUCCUUCGAUCGGUAUAUUGUGUGUCAAAGGUCCUGUUCAUCUCUAACAAAUUCCACUGCAGCCUCGGUCGUAUAUAUGUGUUCUUCAAACUAUUUCAUGUUCUUUUCUUGGGCCUUAGUGUUUUGAUUCUUCGGCGUUUGACAAACGGUUCACAAAUGAAGCUCACGCUAACAAUUUUAGAGAUGUAGGUUGGCCUGCAGCUCAGAGGAGAAGCAUGCCUCAGUCUGUCCCUCAGAAGUUGUUGCCGCCGUCCUCGCUGCAACCACCUGAGACGAAACUCGGUGUUGCAGUACUAGAAGGUGGAUCAGGGUGCAGUGUUGAAGCAUUUUGAUUGGCCGGAGAGGAAGGAGGACACUGCAGUAUGCAACCUUUUGCUUAGUAACCUCAUAAAGAAUUGAACAAUAAGUUUCUAACUACAAAAAUGACAUCAAAACCUUGCAUGCGACAUCAGACCUAUCAUUUGUACGGCAAAUUUUACAAAAAGAAUGUAUAUAAUUUGUGGUAGUGGAGUUACAUUUAGUGCUGAGUAUUUGAUUGAUAUUCCUUAUUCCGUAUGGAGCAAAGUCUCUGGAACCUUUAUAUCUAAAGCAGUUUAACUUUGAUACUGGGCAAUAGGUAUCCUGAGCUUUGCCACUUUUCUGGAGUGCUUUGAAAUUGGAGUUCCAGUUUCUUGAUUUUCAGGAAAUUAAAUAGGAGUGUUUAGGAAAGACGAGGAGAGGAAGGCACGGGAAGUAAAGAAGGAGGGAAAGGAGAGGGAAAAAGGAGAAGUUGCUCAAGAAGAAGUUGAAGGGUUGGCCUGCAGCUCGGAGGAGAAGCAUGCUUUAGUCUGUCCCUCAGAAGUUGUUGCCGCCGUCCUCGCUGCCACCGCAUGAGACGAAACUCGGUGGUAAGCCUCUUCUCUCCUUCUCAGUUCUUCGCCUUUGCUUUGAAUGAUCUCUGUUCAUGUUAUUAUUGUUUAUAAAUAAUAUCUUCCGUUCUUCCUGGUUAUAAUUGUCCGUUGAAUACUUAGAUAUGUUGCCAAAGAUUAGAAUGCAUUAUGUCCAUACACCUCUGAUUGUUUGAUCCUAUUCUGAAGCAUUUUUUCAAUACUUAUAUUUGGAUGGGCGAGGUGCGGUGCAGGUUCCACCGAUUCAGGAAGCACACGGCUGAAUGGAAUCAAACAGAACCAAUGCUGCAGCUAUAGCAUCAUAUAUCUAGCGAUUCAUGUGUUAAUUCAGUGAUAACAACUAUAUCAUCAUAUAUUAUUUCACUUGCAUCGUUCCCUUCCAUUGAUGUCGUAGCAGGUACUUGCCAGUCUAUGGAACAUAGUUAUGAGUGGAGUGAGUGAGAAGAGUACAUGACUGUAGGUUGCAACUUGCUAAUUAUACAACGUGUUCAUGUGUGCGUAUUGUAGUUAUCUGAACCAUGCAAAAAUGGAUAGGUUUUUCUAGAAUAUUAAGCUGUUAUUAGCUAACAUCUCUUCUUUUCUCAUUUAGUCGCUGUACUAGAAGGUGGAUCAGGGUGCAGUGUUGAAUCAUUUUGAUUAGCCGGAGAUGAAUGAGGACACUGCGGUAUGCAACCUUUUGCUUAGUAACCUCAUAAAGAAUUGAAGAAUAAGUUUCUAACUACAAAAAUGACAACAAAACCUUGCAUGUGACAUCAGACCUAUCAUUUGUACGGAAAAUUCUACAAAAAGAAUAUAUAUAAUUUGUGGUAGUGGAUUUACAUUUAGUGUUGAGUAUUUGAUUGAUAUUCCUUAUUCCGUAGGGAGCAAAGUCUCUAGAACCUUCAUAUCUAAAUCAGUUUAACUUUGAUACUGGGCAAUAGGUAUCCUGAGCUUUGCUACUUUUCUGAAGUGCUUUGAAAUUGGAGUUCCAGUUUCUUGAUUUUUAGGAAAUUGAAUAGGAGUGUUUAGGAAAGACAAGGAGAGGAAGGCACGGGAAGCAAAGAAGUGGGAAAAUGGGAGGGAAAAGGAGAAGUUGCUCAAGAAGAAGUUGGAGGACAGCUUGUCCUCGAGCUGGAAGUCAGGAAAGUGCGGGCGGAACUCCUCGAGCUGCUCCCAAGUGGUGUCCUCCUCCGGAAGGCCUUGCCACUAGAUCAACAAACGCCAAGCACACCUCGGCUCCGCUAGGCCUUCAACACCUUCUCGGGAUCCGGGAGCAGACGUCCAUCGGAGGUUGGAGGAAGAGCCGGCGCAGCCGCCGGCGGAUCCCCGUGGAAGGGCUUCAAGCCCACAUGGAGGGCGUCGUGGAUGCGGGCGCCAGGCGGAAGCUGAAGGCGGUAGGCAACAUUGCCGGUGCGCUCCAACACCGAAAACGGUCCCACGUAGCGAGGGCCCAGCUUGCGCUUGGCGCGCGGGUCCAGUGACUGCGUGGUGCGGUGAAGGAGCCGUAGCCACACCCAGUCACCCACCGCAAACUCCGCCUCGCAGUGGUGGGCGUCGUAGACUGCUAUAACCAAGAAGCUCAGAUAGAAGCUCAUAUGCAUGUGUAGAAUAAUAAACGGCAAAAUAGAUUCCUAGUCUUGUCUCUAGGACUAGUUCUAGUAUUGCAUGAUGAUCAUUUUUUCCUGAUCAUGUGGAUGAGUUAGGUUGUAACGAGGAUGCCAGCAACAUUAAGAACACGAUGUUAGAAGAAUACUUGUGUUGAAUUGAUUAAAGUUGUUUGUUACACUUAGAGAUGAUUUCAAUCACAAGUUUAUAGUUCAUAACACGGAAAACGUAUGCACAAUUCAUUAGACCAUGAUAAUAUCAUUUCACUUCAUACUGGAUGGUGUACUUUGGGGUUGUUCCGACGUCAUUUAUAACAGGGUGGUUAUAGUGGCAACUUCAGGUUCAUCAGAAAUGUAUGUCGAGCUCCC
This is a long non-coding RNA of Triticum aestivum (bread wheat), 3523 nucleotides long. RefSeq lists it as uncharacterized. The record is from RefSeq and is a predicted model, not a curated record. NCBI's taxonomy places the organism in Eukaryota, Viridiplantae, Streptophyta, Magnoliopsida, Poales, Poaceae. The transcript is spliced from 4 exons.